Molecule: ribosomal RNA, 253 nt
Filed under: uncultured bacterium
Lineage: Bacteria
Description: partial 16S ribosomal RNA
Rfam family: Bacterial small subunit ribosomal RNA
Source: RNAcentral
UACGUAGGGGGCUAGCGUUGUCCGGAUUUAUUGGGCGUAAAGAGCGCGCAGGCGGUCGUUCAAGUCGAGUGUGAAAGCCCCCGGCUCAACUGGGGAGGGUCAUUCGAUACUGAUCGACUCGAAGGCAGGAGAGGGAAGUGGAAUUCCCGGUGUAGUGGUGAAAUGCGUAGAUAUCGGGAGGAACACCAGUGGCGAAGGCGACUUCCUGGCCUGUUCUUGACGCUGAGGCGCGAAAGCUAGGGGAGCAAACGGG